Papaver somniferum (opium poppy) is the source of this 441-nucleotide long non-coding RNA. RefSeq lists it as uncharacterized. The record is from RefSeq and is a predicted model, not a curated record. The transcript is spliced from 2 exons. Lineage: Eukaryota; Viridiplantae; Streptophyta; Magnoliopsida; Ranunculales; Papaveraceae.
AACGUAAAAGAUGAAAAUGAGUAGUUCCUCAAUGAAGAUAGUCAUGGCUCUGGCCUUAUGCUUGUUGCUUCUUGGUGGUUUCUCAGCUGAAGCAGCAAGAAGGAUCAAUAAUGAUGUUGCAGUAGCAAUAGGAACAAACGCAGGAUCACUACGGAUUGUAUGUGUCCACCCAGAAGAAAAAUGUCCAAGUACCAAGAAAGACGACUGUACUACUUGUUGCACAUCAUUAGGUUACUUCACAGGCCGCCCAGUGUUUGGAUUAUGUUGUUGCGCACAAUUUGAGCAAUGAAGGUCUAAUUUGAUCAUUUCGGAAUUACCUAAUAAGUAUUUGGAGUCGAAAAAGAAAUAAAGCAUGUUUAUAUGAUUUUACUGUUGUACUACAUGCCCUCAGCAUCAUGAAUUAACAUCAUUUUGAUCAGAAACAUGGUCUGUUUCUUUCAA